AGGUAAGAGCUCACCAGCAGUCUGGUAACAGGCUGGCUCGGUAAACCCCAUCCGGAGCAAGACCGAAUAGGGAAGGGUUAAGGGUGGUCCCGCCUACCUUCCGGGUUGUGUCGCUCGAGCGUGCAGGCGACUGUACGCCUAGAAAGAUAAUCGUCACCGCGCAAGCGGAACAGAACUCGGCUUAUUGAUUGCUUGCUUCC
This 200-nucleotide RNase P RNA is filed under the name Megasphaera micronuciformis. RNAcentral describes it as "partial RNase P RNA component class A". It matches the Rfam family "Bacterial RNase P class A", at positions 165 to 367 of the family's 367-position model. From Rfam's summary of the family: Ribonuclease P (RNase P) is a ubiquitous endoribonuclease, found in archaea, bacteria and eukarya as well as chloroplasts and mitochondria. Its best characterised activity is the generation of mature 5'-ends of tRNAs by cleaving the 5'-leader elements of precursor-tRNAs. The record is from RNAcentral. Lineage: Bacteria; Bacillati; Bacillota; Negativicutes; Veillonellales; Veillonellaceae.